This is a non-coding RNA of Equus caballus (horse), 2384 nucleotides long. Lineage: Eukaryota; Metazoa; Chordata; Mammalia; Perissodactyla; Equidae. The record is from RefSeq and is a predicted model, not a curated record.
GCUUGCCAGUGCUCCAGAGGGCUGCUUCCUGAUUGUUCCCUGUCGGUGCAUCAGCUCUGGCCUGGGCAAACCAGCACACAUCUCUGCCAUCCAGGGGGCUGCAACUACACCUUCUCUAACAAGGUCUGAAUCCAGUUGAGAGAGCCUUCCUACAAGGUUUGUUCUUCCCUAGGUACUUUUCCAAAGCUCUAUGGCACCUUUAUAGAGUUCUCUUACAUCUUAAAAUUACUCUUUUAUUGUUCUAGUUAAUAAUUCUAUUACACUUCACCUGUUUAAGCCACUGUGCGAUUUCUGUCUCCUGAUUAGGCCCAGGGCGAUACAAUGUUCAUCAAUAAUAAAAUAAAUCCAUACACUGUGGUAGAGUCACACAAUAGAUACUCUAUAGGCAAUAAAACAAAUGAACUAACUUCUGGUUUCUGGUCUGGUGGGUCCGGAGUUUAGAGGUUGCUGCUCCAUCCUAACAACAAGCAAAAAGCUGAACAAGCUGAAAAACAAACAAUUCUUCUUAGAUCCGUGAGGGAAGUGAAGUCACGGAGCAAACCGCUGCCCCCUGAACAAGAGAGACAGACAGGUGGAUACGGAGAAUCACAACGUACCCGAGCAGAAACCCAUGAGUAGAAACCUCCACGGGAACCAGUGCCAAGGCCUCCUAUUAGUCAACAGAUUCCAGACUUUAAAGUAAAGUUAAAGAGUCUUAAAACUUCAUGUGGACCCAAAUAUCAGGAUGUGCAAGAUUUGAGGAUAUAGUUCUCAAACGAUGUGAAGUUUGAGCUGUGUGGAACAAGUAGCACUGCCUUUCUCAACACCUGGGUAAGUAAAGAGUCUACAGCCAUGAUUGGGCUUUUAAGUCAAUUCUUCCUCCCUGGAUCUGAGGCCUGCCUGGAUGUUCUGCAGUGAUUUGGGGAGAGACGAUAACGAUGACAGCUAACAUUUAUGGACUACUAAGCAUGUUACACAUAUUAACUCUAAGAUAGAGUCCACAGACCCAGGUAGGCUGAAAGGGCCAGAUGAUGUUCUCAAUCAAAGCCACUUGGGUAGGGGGGAUUUAGUCCUAAACUCUAACUGUCAGGAAUCUAAAUAGAGAGAUAAUCAUCUCAGAGGGCAGCAGUCAGUAGUAAUUACUGCCCAGUAUUCACAUUACAGCUAUAAAACUAUGUAGAAGGUCUAGACAUGCUAAAUUUAUUUCCAUAUGAUGAAAAAUCUAGGUCAGAUAUAAACUGAAUUUUUACAAAGUUCCGGGUAGAAUGUGCUACCUAAUCUAACACAUAACCCGUCAAUUUUGGGGGGGAAAGUAUCUAAGCAAAAUGAGAGCUUUGCUUUAAAGGCCCAGUGGGUCUCCAAUCUCCUGGGUCCCCCGGUGCUCUUGGUGGUGUCUUCCAAUGUGAGAGUUAGUGUCUGAGUUUUACUGAUUCUUGGAAAAGGGCCAUGAGCACACUGAAUGGCUGGAUCUGAACCCAGUAAAGUGUCUCUUCUCCCAAAGACAAAGAUCAAUUUCGGAAUCACCAGACCCUCAGGGUGCUCAAACAACUACUCCACAUGUACCCUCACUUUCUCCCUCCAAAGACACAGUAAACUGUGAGCAAGGAGACAUUCCAAGUGGAAUAGAUCUGUCUUACUUGGCUUGAUGUCAAACUCUUUCACUGCUUUGGUACUCUCUUAUUGCCCAAAGACAGCAAGGCUCAUGGCUUACCAAACCCAGGUAGCAAGCUCUAAACAGCUUCCUAUGGUUUCAAGCCUGCUCCAUUUCCAUUACCCCUGCAUCUGGAAAUUCCACUGCAAACAGUGUAGUAAUGGACAGUGUAGCAGUGCAGCAACUCCUUGAGCAAAGCUGAGCCCCCUCAGAUGCAAAAAUUAUAUGUCUAGACCAAAAUAUAUGUCUAAAUGAGGUCUUCACCCUCAUAGUGUUUAUACAGUCCUCAGUUAGAGUCAAGCAAAUCAGUCCUUAUAUUGUCUGGAGGAGCCUAUGGGUCCAGGUGGAGCAGAGUCUGCAUGCAUGAGGUCAUUUGCUUCAAUUCCAAUAUGUGAAAUCAAUGUCAACAUGAAACAAAUAUUCCUCUCACUUUUGUUGUCUCCUGUUCCAAUAGAGGGAAAGUUAUCAGGAGUCCCAUGAGGCAGAAAACCGUCUCUGUGAGCCCUGAUGCUUGGGCAUGGUAGGACAGAACAUUAAUGGAGCCCUCAUCACAUGGCCCUAAUGACUGGAGCCAUACACACUAGAACAGAGGCCGUGGACCCAGGAUACAUACCUGGCCCCAAGAUAUGUACAAGACCAAAAGGAAUGUUGACAGAUCAAGGCAAGAAACAACUAACAAUCAAAAAUAGACUGAACACAUUCUCCCAUAGAAAGCAUGCCCAUGAGCUCUGCAUGCUUCAGUCAGCGGAGUGAA